This 446-nucleotide ribosomal RNA is filed under the name uncultured bacterium. RNAcentral's name for it is "SSU rRNA". It matches the Rfam family "Bacterial small subunit ribosomal RNA", at positions 26 to 518 of the family's 1533-position model. The record is from RNAcentral.
AGAGCGAACGCUGGCGGCAGGCCUAAUACAUGCAAGUCGAACGGACCCUUCGGGGUUAGUGGCGGACGGGUGAGUAACACGUGGGAACGUGCCCUUUGGUUCGGAACAACUCAGGGAAACUUGAGCUAAUACCGAAUGUGCCCUUUGGGGGAAAGAUUUAUCGCCAUUGGAGCGGCCCGCGUCUGAUUAGCUAGUUGGUGAGGUAAAGGCUCACCAAGGCGACGAUCAGUAGCUGGUCUGAGAGGAUGAUCAGCCACACUGGGACUGAGACACGGCCCAGACUCCUACGGGAGGCAGCAGUAGGGAAUCUUGCGCAAUGGGCGAAAGCCUGACGCAGCCAUGCCGCGUGAAUGAUGAAGGUCUUAGGAUUGUAAAAUUCUUUCAGCGGGGACGAUAAUGACGGUACCCGCAGAAGAAGCCCCGGCUAACUUCGCGCCAGCAGCCGC